Humulus lupulus (European hop) is the source of this 478-nucleotide long non-coding RNA. RefSeq lists it as uncharacterized. The transcript has 3 exons. The record is from RefSeq and is a predicted model, not a curated record. Lineage: Eukaryota; Viridiplantae; Streptophyta; Magnoliopsida; Rosales; Cannabaceae.
UUUUUUCCUCUAAUCUAAAAACCCGGUCUCCUCACUCACUCUUCCCCGAUCCCUCUCCUUCUCUCUCUCUCUCCUGCUCCCUCAACUACGACGGUGAGGGGAUAUACGAGGCUUCAACCACGGUGGAGGUCGACGGGGCUGACAGAGGCUCAGCGGGACUGCCGGAGGCUCGACGACGUGGACUCGGAGACUCGUUGGUGCAGAUGCAUUCUAGUGGAUGAGAACGACCGGGUUGUUGGUCAUGAUACAAAAUAUAAUUGUCACUUGAUGGAAAAGAUUGAAAAGGAAAAUUUGCUGCAAAUGGCUUUCAGUGUGUUUUUGUUCAACUCAAAAUACGAGUUGCUUCUUCAGGUAUUGCUUACAAUAUUUGAGGGACAUCAAACUAUAUGAUUUGCCAAUUAGAUACCCAAACCUUAGAUCUUGUGGGAGCAAACAACAGACCUGACUGUUUGAACUGCCCUCCUAGGUGCUUACAUUU